CAAAAAGCUGAGAUGGAGAGAGUACGUGCUGAAUUCGGUACAGAGAGUCGGCGGUUGGUGAGAGCCGAACUGAAUAGGCACGGAAGUACACUCCGGAGCUGUUCGGUGAACUCCGUUUGGAAAGUAGCCUCAACCGGGCAUACCAGUGCUCGUUAACGCAAUCAAGUGAAAGGUUUUUGUGCCUUUUAUUAGGGUGGUACCGCGAGCAGCCUCGUCCCUAGU
This 222-nucleotide non-coding RNA is filed under the name Alicyclobacillus acidoterrestris. RNAcentral describes it as "T-box sequence". It matches the Rfam family "T-box leader". From Rfam's summary of the family: Uncharged tRNA acts as the effector for transcription antitermination of genes in the T-box leader family. T-boxes are found upstream of many aminoacyl-tRNA synthetase genes and some amino acid biosynthetic genes usually in Gram-positive bacteria. Lineage: Bacteria; Bacillati; Bacillota; Bacilli; Caryophanales; Alicyclobacillaceae. The record is from RNAcentral.